RNAcentral lists this ribosomal RNA (498 nucleotides) under uncultured bacterium. RNAcentral's name for it is "partial 16S ribosomal RNA". It matches the Rfam family "Bacterial small subunit ribosomal RNA", at positions 30 to 523 of the family's 1533-position model. The record is from RNAcentral.
AUUGAACGCUGGCGGCAUGCCUUACACAUGCAAGUCGAACGGUAACAGAUCUUCGGAUGCUGACGAGUGGCGAACGGGUGAGUAAUACAUCGGAACGUGCCUAGUAGUGGGGGAUAACUACUCGAAAGAGUGGCUAAUACCGCAUGAGAUCUACGGAUGAAAGCAGGGGAUCGCAAGACCUUGUGCUACUAGAGCGGCCGAUGGCAGAUUAGGCAGUUGGCGGGAUAAAAGCUUACCAAGCCGACGAUCUGUAGCUGGUCUGAGAGGACGAUCAGCAACACUGGGACUGAGACACGGCACAGACUGCUACGGGAGGAAGCAGUGGGGGAUUUUGGACAAUGGGCGAAAGCCUGAUCCAGCAAUGCCGCGUGCAGGAUGAAGGCCUUCGGGUCGUAAACUGCUUUUGUACGGAACGAAAAGCCCCGGGUUAAUACCCUGGGGUCAUGACGGUACCGUAAGGAUAAGCACCGGCUAACUACGUGCCAGCCGCCGCCGUAA